AUUGCUCCUCUUGGAGUUUUUCUCUAUAAGCCUGAGAUACAGAUUUUACUCCUUACAGAUCUAUAGAUGGACACAAAUGGAGUCAUUGGAGGCUUGGCACUGCACCGGUGUUCUCUACCACAAAAGCUUCCACUUGGAGCAGCAGUUGGCAUCUCUUUAACCAGGACGUUCCCUCCCCUUGGAGUCACAGUCUUGUCUGGAGCCUGAGCUCUGAGUGAAGGAUUCACAGAUAGAAAAGGAGACCCUGAACUCCUAGGAGGAGGCGAUAAGAAGGCAGAUUUCAGAUAUGGAGUUUGACAAGUGGAGCACAGCCCCAGGUGCCUGAAUGUCACUGUUCUUUGCUGUUACAAAGUCCAUUGGCAGUGUGGCUUUUCUUCCCUUUCUUCAUCUUGUGUUGUCCACAAAAGGUGAUUAUCCAUCUUCUCUGUAGAGCUUAGUCUCAUUGCAGAGAGAAGACAAACCUAUUUUGGUGAACUUGGGUGUUUCCCUAAACAAGAUAGCUUGUCUUUGCAGCGUUAGUUAAAAUUCAGACAUAAAACUGGGGACAAGUGUAUGUGGAGAAACACACAGCUGAACCAUUAUCAUGGGAUCUGAUACCUCAAAGAGUCGUCUGUUUUUGCUGUGCUCCUG
Long non-coding RNA from Lagopus leucura (white-tailed ptarmigan), 630 nucleotides. RefSeq lists it as uncharacterized. The record is from RefSeq and is a predicted model, not a curated record. The transcript is spliced from 3 exons. NCBI's taxonomy places the organism in Eukaryota, Metazoa, Chordata, Aves, Galliformes, Phasianidae.